GACGAACGCUGGCGGCGUGCUUAACACAUGCAAGUCGAACGAUGAAGCUGGAGCUUGCUCCGGUGGAUUAGUGGCGAACGGGUGAGUAACACGUGAGCAAUCUGCCCUUGACUCUGGGAUAACUGCGGGAAACUGUAGCUAAUACCGGAUACGACACCUUCGGGCAUCCGAUGGGUGUGGAAAGAAUUUCGGUCAAGGAUGAGCUCGCGGCCUAUCAGCUAGUUGGUGAGGUAAUGGCUCACCAAGGCGACGACGGGUAGCCGGCCUGAGAGGGGGACCGGCCACACUGGGACUGAGACACGGCCCAGACUCCUACGGGAGGCAGCAGUGGGGAAUAUUGCACAAUGGGCGCAAGCCUGAUGCAGCAACGCCGAGUGAGGGAUGAAGUCCUUCGGGUUGUAAACCUCUUUUAGCAGGGAAGAAGCGAAAGUGACGGUACCUGCAGAAAAAGCACCGGCUAACUACGUGCCAGCCGCCGCGGUAA
This 484-nucleotide ribosomal RNA is filed under the name uncultured bacterium. RNAcentral describes it as "partial 16S ribosomal RNA". It matches the Rfam family "Bacterial small subunit ribosomal RNA", at positions 28 to 523 of the family's 1533-position model. The record is from RNAcentral.